Molecule: ribosomal RNA, 398 nt
Filed under: uncultured bacterium
Lineage: Bacteria
Description: partial 16S ribosomal RNA
Rfam family: Bacterial small subunit ribosomal RNA
Source: RNAcentral
CCUACGGGCGGCUGCAGUGAGGAAUAUUGGUCAAUGGGCGCGAGCCUGAACCAGCCAAGUAGCGUGAAGGAUGACUGCCCUACGGGCUGUAAACUUCUUUUAUAAAGGAAUACAGUGAGGCACGUGUGCCUCUUUGUAUGUACUUUAUGUAUAAGGAUCGGCUAACUCCGUGCCAGCAGCGGCGAUAAUACGGAGGAUCCGAUCGUUAUCCGGAUCUGUUGGGAUUAACGGGAGCGUAGAUGGGUUGUUAAGUCAGUUGUGAAAGUUUGCGGCUCAACGGGAGAAUUGCAAUUGAUACUGGCAGUCUUGAGUACAGGUGAGGUAAGCGGAAUUCGAGGUGUAGCAGUGAAAUGCGUAGAUAUCACGAAGAACUCCGAUGGCGAAGGCAGCUAACUAGA